RNAcentral lists this ribosomal RNA (296 nucleotides) under Opisthopatus cinctipes. Its description in RNAcentral is "partial 12S ribosomal RNA". The record is from RNAcentral. Lineage: Eukaryota; Metazoa; Onychophora; Udeonychophora; Euonychophora; Peripatopsidae.
AAACCUUAGUAAUUUGACGGUAAAUAUUUCAUAGAGGAGCUUGUAACUUAAUCGAUAAUUCACGUAAAUCUUACUUAUAUUAAUUUUGUAUACCUCCGUAUAGAUUUUAUUUUAAAUUUUAAUAUUCUCUAAAUAAAAUAAUUUAUUACAUCAGGUCAAGGCACAGAGUAUAUAAGUUGUUAUGAGCUACAUUAAAUAAAUAAUUUUGAAUUAUAUUUUAAAAGAUAUAUGAAAUUGAAUUUAUAAGUAAAAUAUUAUAUAAAAUUUAUUUGAAAAGUAAGUAUUUAUGUACACAU